Jimgerdemannia flammicorona is the source of this 85-nucleotide non-coding RNA. The record is from the annotation of a GenBank genome assembly. Lineage: Eukaryota; Fungi; Mucoromycota; Endogonomycetes; Endogonales; Endogonaceae.
GCUCCUGUAGCUUAAUGGUAAAGUGACUGCAUAUUUAUAUAUCAAUAAUCGCAGUUGAAUCGGGGUUCAAAUCCCCGCGGGAGUA